CACGUAGGGCGCAAGCGUUGUCCGGAAUUAUUGGGCGUAAAGAGCUCGUAGGCGGUCUGUUGCGUCUGCUGUGAAAACUCGGGGCUUAACCCCGAGCCUGCAGUGGAUACGGGCAGACUAGAGGUAGGUAGGGGAGAAUGGAAUUCCCGGUGUAGCGGUGAAAUGCGUAGAUAUCUGGAGGAAUACCGGUGGCGAAGGCGGCAUCCUGGACCGGCAUUGACGCUGAGGAGCGAAAGCUAGGGGAGCAAACGGG
RNAcentral lists this ribosomal RNA (253 nucleotides) under uncultured bacterium. Its description in RNAcentral is "partial 16S ribosomal RNA". It matches the Rfam family "Bacterial small subunit ribosomal RNA", at positions 524 to 776 of the family's 1533-position model. The record is from RNAcentral.